GCACAUCUGUUGGAACCUACUUCUACAGAAGACCAGCUGAAACAACUAGCCUGUGGGACUGAGCAACUGCUAGGUUCUUGGACUUUUCAUCCACAGCUGACUAUUGUUGGGGAGUUGGACUACAGACUAGCACGGUGUCCUCAGAGUCCACCCACAUUGCAGCCCGUGUCAGGAUUCCCUUCACUUUGAAGGCUGAAGCAUCUCCCAUUCUACAGAAGCCAUCCAUGCAGACCCGGGAUGUCCUCCAGUAAAGAUGUCCAUGGAUGCUGGAUGCCCUGGCAAAGGGGGGUCCAUUACUCUGCAUCUCUGUACAGAACGCCUGGUGGGCGGAUCUGAUAGACAGAGGUGGAAUUUGAAGUCUGCCUGUCUCUUGAAAAUAUGCAGUCUUUCCGUCGGUCAGGCAGCUUUGCAGGUCAAAAACAAAAUCUGCGAGUUGGAAGAUAGCUCCUCUGGUGAAGGGGUUGCAGUGCAAGCAUAAACAUCCAAGCUAAAUUCUUAGAACCCACAGGAGGAAAAGUGCCUUGUGCCUGUAAUCCCAACACCAAGGAGGGUGAGCCAUGGAGUUUGCUGGUCAGCCAACCCAGCUGAGAUAUCAGCCCAAGCAAAGGAGAGAUCAGGUCUUCAAAAAACAAGGUGGAUGGUUCCUGAGGUUGGAUACCAGAGGUUGACUGCUGGCCUACAUACAUACACUCACACACACACACACACACACACACACACACACACACACACACACACAC
Mastomys coucha (southern multimammate mouse) is the source of this 740-nucleotide long non-coding RNA. RefSeq lists it as uncharacterized. The transcript has 4 exons. NCBI's taxonomy places the organism in Eukaryota, Metazoa, Chordata, Mammalia, Rodentia, Muridae. The record is from RefSeq and is a predicted model, not a curated record.